AGCACGCGAUUCUUUCAGUACAGGCUAUUGUCGCCUUACGCUCUACUGUCAGACGUGUCGGCAAAAUUGUGUAAGUAGGCUUUGUACAUUGUAACUAACGAAAUGUCUUGACAAGAAUACAAAUAAAGUAACGUGGUGCAGAAGAUGGGCUUUAUGCAGCAGCAGAUCCCACACAUACUGGUGAGCAGAGAAGCCAGACAACACAUACAUGUGGGUGCUGUUACGGCAGACUGCAAGGAACAGGGUGAGGUGAAGGACAAGCUGACAUCUGAAUUCCUGUCCAAUCACAUCGCCAGCCCGGAUACAAGCAUAUCUGGUCAACGCUCCAUGGUAUGAAACUUCACCCACCAACCUCACCACUGUGACUGC
This is a long non-coding RNA of Schistocerca serialis cubense, 369 nucleotides long. RefSeq lists it as uncharacterized. Lineage: Eukaryota; Metazoa; Arthropoda; Insecta; Orthoptera; Acrididae. The transcript has 3 exons. The record is from RefSeq and is a predicted model, not a curated record.